CUACUCCCUAUCGACGAGCUGGUUUGACACCUCGAUGUCGGCUUGUUGCGUCCUUGGGCUGCAGAAGGUCCAAAGGGUAGGACUGUUCGUCCUUUAAUGCAGCACACGAGCUGGGUUUAGUGCGUCGUGAGACAGUACGGUUCCUAUCUGUGCUAAAUUAGACUGAGACUCAGACCCCCCAGUACGAGAGGACCGGAGGGGUCCCAACCUCUGGUCUACCGGUUAUUGUUUCUGCAGUAUCGCCGGGCAGCUAAGUUGGACAUCAGAACCGCUGAAGGCAUCUGAAGUGGGAAAGAUUUGUCAAAACAGGUCUCUAAAUUCGUGGAAGUCUACCACGUAGAUCGGCAACAAGUGUACUUCUGUAAAGACUGGCUUGG
This 377-nucleotide ribosomal RNA is filed under the name Chlorolobion braunii. Its description in RNAcentral is "large subunit ribosomal RNA". It matches the Rfam family "Bacterial large subunit ribosomal RNA", at positions 2495 to 2895 of the family's 2925-position model. The record is from RNAcentral. Lineage: Eukaryota; Viridiplantae; Chlorophyta; Chlorophyceae; Sphaeropleales; Selenastraceae.